UUAACACAUGCAAGUCGAGGGGCAGCACAGGUAGCAAUACCGGGUGGCGACCGACGCACGGGUGAGUAACGCGUAUGCAACUUGCCUAUCAGAGGGGGAUAGCCUUUCGAAAGAAAGAUUAAUACCGGAUGGUAUAGUUUUCCCGCAUGGGAUGAUUAUUAAAGAAUUUCGGUUGUCGAUGGGGAUGCGUUCCAUUAGGCAGUUGGCGGGGUAACGGCCCACCAAACCAACGAUGGAUAGGGGUUCUGAGAGGAAGGUCCCCACAUUGGUACUGAGACACGGACCAAACUCC
This 292-nucleotide ribosomal RNA is filed under the name uncultured Bacteroidales bacterium. RNAcentral describes it as "partial 16S ribosomal RNA". It matches the Rfam family "Bacterial small subunit ribosomal RNA", at positions 48 to 339 of the family's 1533-position model. Lineage: Bacteria; Pseudomonadati; Bacteroidota; Bacteroidia; Bacteroidales. The record is from RNAcentral.